GUCGAAUCUUCAUCGUCGCUCUGGAAAAACAUAAUCAGGAAUUUCACUGGUAGCUAAGAUCUGUUAUUUUGGACAAUGAGUAGGCCUCAAGUGAGAUGGAAUGAAGACAACUUGUAUGAAAUUGAAGCCAAUAAACCAGUGAGGCAGAAAAUAACUGAACCUAAAACACCUUAUCAUCCUAUG
Zingiber officinale is the source of this 183-nucleotide long non-coding RNA. RefSeq lists it as uncharacterized. The transcript has 3 exons. The record is from RefSeq and is a predicted model, not a curated record. NCBI's taxonomy places the organism in Eukaryota, Viridiplantae, Streptophyta, Magnoliopsida, Zingiberales, Zingiberaceae.